Cottoperca gobio is the source of this 2024-nucleotide long non-coding RNA. Lineage: Eukaryota; Metazoa; Chordata; Actinopteri; Perciformes; Bovichtidae. The record is from Ensembl.
ACAAUCUCGAGGUACUCGGACCAAAACUUGGCAUUUACAAUUGAUGACUUACACUCACACUUUAUAAGAGAUUUCCAUCCAUUAUCUGACAUUUAUUGCAGUGGCAGAAGGCCAAAGUAAUCAUAAUAUCAAACUCCAGUAGCUGGGCUGGAACUAUCUCAGUUUGAUUAUCUGUAGGUGAAUCGUACGGGUGGCAAAUCACCAGAUUGUCAAAACACAACGACGUCGAGCCAAAACUUCAACCUACAAAUUACACGGUUCAAAACGUAAUUAUUAUGUCUUGACAGAAUAGGUUGCAUCAUGAUGUUUGAAUACUACUGAUAAUAAAAUCCUUGUGCAUUGUAUGAAAUUACUUACUGACACAAACAAGACACAAAUCACCUUUACUGUUAGUCCUGGGAGUUUCAUUCCCCUUCAUGCUCAUCGGGGUACUUUUAUAGAUUUUCUCAUCCACAGAAGAAAGUAUAGAAACCCUUUGUCCCCCGAGUAGCAACUGACAAACACAAGCAGUCCAGCAAAGACAACAAGCAGAGAAAAGGAAAAGGAAUUCCAUUGGUAUCCAUCUUGAAUGUGACAGACAGCGCUGUGUUCACUUCCUCUGGCUGGAAAGGUUGAGUCCCCGGAGACCUCAGAAUGAGCUUUGAGCUUUGUUUUCCUUCAGAAGCUAACCUGCCUGGAUGGACCAGGAAAACAUCCUCCGUGUAGGAAACAUGAUUAAUUUCAAAAAGCACAAAAGAAAGCAAGAACAGGCGAAGAAGAAGAGAACAGCAGGACAGGGGAUCUUCAGGAGUCCCUCUUACCCAAGAGAUGUAGCUGGUUUUCUCCAGAAGGCACACACUAAAGAAUCACAAGGAUGCUCAUCUCCCUUUGAUGUCUUUCUGUGAUGAGAUAUAAACCCUGAUGGCAAUAACAGACCUCUUUGAACAAUAAAAAAUCGAAUCUCAGCGUAACAACACCAAAGGCACGGCGAGGCAGUGCUUUUGUAAACAAGCUGUUCCCUGGAGUGGAUGAAGCUGCAUCUGCAGGGUCGCUGAUGCUGAGCUGGAUCACACAUAGAUCCUCCACUGCCCUAUAGUAAACACACGAUAUUACUGUCUCCUUAUCAGUAGACAUGUUUCAAUGAGUUAUAGAUGUUUAACGCACUUAGCGCAGUGUACUAACCUUGGAAUGUGUGCCAUUUCGUCAGCGUUGCGCUUCCUGUAAUUUCCUUUUCCUGUAUUUUUUCGCUAUAAUGUAAGUACUUGUUAAUCUAAACGUGCACACACACAUUCACACAAACUCUCAAUUGAUAUAAAUGCAAUGCUGCGCAAUUACAGAUAAGCUUGACUUGAUACUUAUUCCGAGAACUGGACCAGAAAAGUCUGGAAGUAUCAGUUUCCAUGGUAACUUAGCUCAAGUUGCUUUGUGGGACUCGACGGUAUGGAAAUGAGGCUGAUAUACUGACACAGUACGCCUUGCUCGACUGGGCUUCUGCCUCACUCCUCUAGUACACAGGAAGGUAUAAGAUACACUGCAGGUGUUGCACCAGGAUUAACCCUUUAGCUCAGUGUUGCCACUCAUGUUGAAGUAAAGUGUGUGAUUAAGAUGGAUGACAGUGAUUUGAAGACUUGUGUUUGAUCGUGCCGCAGCUACACUGAAGCUUUUGAAAUACAAUCUGACAUGUAGACAACAGUUCACUCCCAUUGUACGACUGUACUCACAGCAUCUGAUAUUAACAGUCUAAGAUGCUUUGAUUUUCUAUUUUUAAUAUUUUAUUAAACAUGUUUUUUUGCAGUACUCAUCUACUAUACAUGCAUCCAUCAAAGUACAGUAGUUCUUUUGGGGUUAACUAGGCUUUUACUCUUGGAUUUAAAUUAUUUAUCCUUUUACCUUUUUAGCUUUUAUUUCUUUCAUUUCAGAGCCGCAUGUUUCAAUGCCUGUAAUUGUAAGCGUGAAUGUAACUGUGAAGUUCUGCUUUAACUGGCUUUUGUAUACAGUACAAGGUUAUUGUGCAAAAGACAACUGUCACCUUUAAUGUCAACACC